This 253-nucleotide ribosomal RNA is filed under the name uncultured bacterium. RNAcentral's name for it is "partial 16S ribosomal RNA". It matches the Rfam family "Bacterial small subunit ribosomal RNA", at positions 524 to 776 of the family's 1533-position model. The record is from RNAcentral.
UACGUAGGGGGCUAGCGUUGUCCGGAAUCAUUGGGCGUAAAGCGCGUGUAGGCGGUUCGGUAAGUCCGCUGUGAAAGUCGGGGGCUCAACCCUCGAAAGCCGGUGGAUACUGUCGGGCUAGAGUACGGAAGAGGCGAGUGGAAUUCCUGGUGUAGCGGUGAAAUGCGCAGAUAUCAGGAAGAACACCCGUGGCUAAGGCGGCUCUCUAGUACGGUACUGACGCUGAGACGCGAAAGCGUGGGGAGCAAACAGG